AUGCGCUGUCAUUCCUUUUUUGUUAUGAUUUCUGUGUCUGUCAGCUUGUUAUUUUGUGUCGGCAGUCUGAACUUUCCUCUGUUACUUCUGGUCUUAUGUUGUGGGCCGUUUAUGUUCUUAGCGUUAUCAGCACUGGGUCCGAGUCUGAAAACCUAUUAUCUAUUUGCCUGUAUGAACCUGUUGGCAGUUUUCUUCUCUGUUAUGCAGUGGAGAUGUUUGGUUACCCCCUUGAGUUUCUUUAUGGAUAAUCCGCGUUUUCGUAAUUGGAAAGUUCUGUGCUGGAAUGUGCGUGGUUUAAACUCUGAGAAACGUCAGCGAGACGUCCGUGCUAAGAUUGAGGAAAGUAACUGCUCCAUUGUUUGUUUACAAGAAACAAAAUGUGAAUCUUUCGAUCUCAAGUUUAUCCGACAAUUUUGCCAGCGAAGAUUUGAUAAUUUUGCGUUCUCUCCCUCGCAUGGGGCCUCUGGGGGCAUUCUAGUUGUUUGGAAUUCAGCUUUUUUCUCUGGUUGUCUCAUCGAAAUCCAGCGUUUUGCUGUCGUUGUUUCCUUUACUUCAACUCAUAAUUCUGAAGUUUGGAAUCUGGUUUCAGUGUAUGGCCCAUGCGACGGCCCUUUGCGAGAUGAUUUUGUUCAAUGGUUAUAUCAUCUUCAAAUACCUGUUGAUGCUAACUGGUUGUUGCUGGGUGAUUUCAACUUCAUCAGAUCUUUGGACAACGGGAAUUUACCUGGUGGUGACGUAAAUGAUAUCUUUAUGUUCAAUGAGAUUAUUGGGCAUCUCGGUUUAUUGGAAUUGUCGUUGAAGGGUAGGGCCUAUACCUGGUCAAAUAUGCAGCAACAACCUCUCCUUGAACAGUUGGACUGGUUCUUCACAUCUAGUUCUUGGAUCUCGUUAUACCCUAACACAGUUGUGCACCCCCUCGCUCGCACGGGUUCUGAUCAUAUCCUGUGUUUGGUAUCGAUUGACACCACCAUCCCUAGAGCAAAAGUUUUCCGGUUUGAAAAUUACUGGGUGGACUUACCUGGAUUUAUGGACUGUGUCACGGCCUCAUGGAAUGCUCCUUUAGCUUGCGUGGGCUCGGCAACUGCUGUUAUUUCAAAGAAGUUCAAGCGUCUUAGGAGUGAUCUGAAGAGAUGGCAUAUUAAUCUUGCCUCGAUAAAGAAGCUUAUUCUUAACUGCUCUAAAGUGAUUCUUUCUUUGGAUACUCUGGAGGAAUGCAUGCCUCUCACAACCCCAGAGUUCAAUUUCAGAAAGAUAGUUAAGCUCCAUCACGAGGAUUUGCUUAGGUUGCAGUAUAUUUACUGGAAGCAGCGUUGCACUAUUCGUUAG
Molecule: ribosomal RNA, 1326 nt
Filed under: Triticum aestivum (bread wheat)
Lineage: Eukaryota; Viridiplantae; Streptophyta; Magnoliopsida; Poales; Poaceae
Description: partial small subunit ribosomal RNA
Source: RNAcentral